Non-coding RNA from Cinara cedri, 785 nucleotides. NCBI's taxonomy places the organism in Eukaryota, Metazoa, Arthropoda, Insecta, Hemiptera, Aphididae. The record is from the annotation of a GenBank genome assembly.
CACACAUUUGUAAUUCGGAGGACACAAUAAUUUAGGUUCUGCAUUGUAUAGAGUAUUGUAUAUUAAAUCGUCAUGAAGUUAGAAGAAUAUCGUAAUAUGGUUAUGGGCAAAUAGAAUUUUCGAAAAUCCAGUACCUAGGUAAUAAUAAUUAAAUCAUUGUAUGAAUAAGUUUUUUAAAUAUUCUCAAACAAUAUUUUUUUAACACCUUACCAAUUUCAUCAAUAGGUAUUUGUUAUAUUUAUGUUUUUGAAUCUAUGGCAUAACGUUUCUUUAUAAGUUCAAAAUUAUCUAAUUUGCAUGGGGGAUGAGCCACUGAUAAAGUGGUUAAGUAUUAAUCAUUAUGUCCAUUUUUAGCAUAGCACUACCAAUUACAAUCAACAAUAAAUGGACCCGUAUGUCUCCAUGGUCCAUAUGGUCAAGAUAAAAAAAUGUCGUGGAUCUAAACGACUCGGGACCAUAUUGUCCGGAGAUCCGAAUGUCUCUGACCUGGUAUAAAUUCUUAUCAGAAUGUUUACCUGGGUCUCGAUGACGCAGGAUCCGUCUGUCAUGUUACCGAAUUUCACUCUGGUCAAACAUAAGAAAGUGAUGCAGCAAAAUUUUACGUUAGUUGUACCACUUCGCACAAUUUUUAUUAUACAAAAUUAGAAAACAAUAUUGUAUUAAAUAUGAAAAUAAUUAUUUUUUAUGUCAUCAAACAUUAUUUGACAUUUGUUCUUAAUAUGAUUUGUAUAAUACAAGACGGAUGCAUCCACCUUGGUAGUUGGUACAACAUUAUCAUAUUAACA